Molecule: long non-coding RNA, 1516 nt
Filed under: Sus scrofa (pig)
Lineage: Eukaryota; Metazoa; Chordata; Mammalia; Artiodactyla; Suidae
Description: lncRNA (ENSSSCG00015033840.1)
Source: RNAcentral
GCGUUUCCAGUGAGAUAAAUAGAACCUAUCCAUCCCAUUGAUAAUAACGUAUGUUAAAAAAAUAAUAGUAAUAAACACACUAGAUAUAGAGGAAAUACCAUUGAUUGGAUAGAUUUCCUUUAAUCAAUAUUUUAUUUCUGGAGUGUGCUUUUAAUUUCUCAAAGUGCUUUUACAUAUAUUAUCUCAUUUGAUUUACACAAUGCUUCUAUGUAGCAGGAAGCAGGCAUUUCAUUUUGUAUCACAGAUGGAGAAACCAAGGCUAUUAGUUCAGGGGAUGUGGUGGCCUUGCUAGAGGUCAGACCUCAGACUUCUGCGUCUCCAACCUGUGCCUCUUCCACACCCUGACCCUGUCCCUCUUCAAAAGUCUCACCCUACAUUGGGCGAAAACGUGCGUUUUUAUUAACUUGGCAUCAGGGACUGGACCACGGAAAACUGCAUAGAUGAAUUUCUUGUGUCACUGCCCAGAAUUUCUUGUGUCUCGCUGUCUCUCUUUCUCUUCCAUAAUGUGAAAAAAAAUUUUUUUUGCCUUCUCCUGGCCCUUUAAAGUUGUUUCCGCAGAAGGAGAUAUAGAGCCACUCUAGAUUGCAUUUCAGGGUUGGUCGCUGGAGCGGGAAAGGUGACCACGGCAGCUCAGGGGGCCAUCUAUUUUAAUCCGGUGGCACAUGCUCAGGAGAAGGAUCACCCCUGGAAGCAGGAAGAUUCAAGUUCCAGGGAGCACACAUGGGCCGACAGGGAUGACUUUCCCAGUGCGGGUUCCCACUCAAACUCAGAAUGUCUAUUGUCUUAUUGCUUCAGUUGUGGCCAAGGUCUGAGCUGCUGCCUGGGUCUCACUCUUUAGAAACCCCAGCCAUGCCCGCAAGUGGCCCGACUGUGGCUGCACCGAGAAUCUUUGUGCAAGAUUCUGCAUAGUGUAUAGAAAAACCAGAAUCCGGUUGCCCAAGUCACAUGCCAGACAAAGCCCCCAGGGUCACUGCUAAAUGUCCAUCGACAGAUGAAUGGAUUAAGAAGAUGUGGUACAUAUACACAAUGGAAUACUACUCAGCCAUAAAAAGAAAAAAAUAAUGCCAUUUGCAACAACAUGGAUGGAGCUAGAGACUCUCAUACUAAGUGAAGUAAGUCAGAAAGAGAAAGACAAAUACCAUAUGGUAUCACUUAUAUCUGGAAUCUAAUAUAUGGCACAAAUAAACCUUUCCACAGAAAAGAAACUCAUGGACUUGGAGAGCAGACUUGUGGUUGCCAAGGGGGCGGGGGAGGGAGUGGGAUGGACUGGAAAUCUGGGGCUAAUAGAUGCAAACUAUUGCCUUUGGAAUGGACAAGCAAUGAGAUCCUGCUGCAUAGCACUGGGACUAUAUAGCACUGGAACUAUAUCUAGUCAUUUAUGAUGGAGCAUGAUGGAGGAUAAUGCAAGAAAGAGAAUAUAUAUAUGUAUGUGUGACUGGGUUACUUUGCUGCGCAGCAGAAAACUGAGAGAAUGCUGUAAACCAACUCUAAUGGAAAAAAUAAAAAUCAUUUAAAG